RNAcentral lists this ribosomal RNA (446 nucleotides) under uncultured soil bacterium. RNAcentral's name for it is "bacterial SSU rRNA". It matches the Rfam family "Bacterial small subunit ribosomal RNA", at positions 26 to 518 of the family's 1533-position model. The record is from RNAcentral.
AGAACGAACGCUGGCGGCAUGCCUAACACAUGCAAGUCGAACGAGACCUUCGGGUCUAGUGGCGCACGGGUGCGUAACGCGUGGGAAUCUGCCCUUGGGUUCGGGAUAACAGUUGGAAACGACUGCUAAUACCGGAUGAUGACUUCGGUCCAAAGAUUUAUCGCCCAGGGAUGAGCCCGCGUCGGAUUAGCUAGUUGGUGGGGUAAAGGCCUACCAAGGCAACGAUCCGUAGCUGGUCUGAGAGGAUGAUCAGCCACACUGGGACUGAGACACGGCCCAGACUCCUACGGGAGGCAGCAGUGGGGAAUAUUGGACAAUGGGCGAAAGCCUGAUCCAGCAAUGCCGCGUGAGUGAUGAAGGCCUUAGGGUUGUAAAGCUCUUUUACCCGGGAUGAUAAUGACAGUACCGGGAGAAUAAGCCCCGGCUAACUCCGUGCCAGCAGCCGC